CGGGUGACGAGUGGCGGACGGGUGAGUAAUGUCUGGGAAACUGCCUGAUGGAGGGGGAUAACUACUGGAAACUGGGGCUAAUACCGGAUAGGAGCUCCUGCUGCAUGGUGGGGGUUGGAAAGUUUCGGCGGUUGGGGAUGGACUCGCGGCUUAUCAGCUUGUUGGUGGGGUGAUGGCCUACCAAGGCUUUGACGGGUAGCCGGCCCGAGAGGGUGACCGGUCACAUUGGGACUGAGAUACGGCCCAG
This 247-nucleotide ribosomal RNA is filed under the name uncultured Actinomycetales bacterium. Its description in RNAcentral is "partial 16S ribosomal RNA". It matches the Rfam family "Bacterial small subunit ribosomal RNA", at positions 85 to 334 of the family's 1533-position model. The record is from RNAcentral. Lineage: Bacteria; Bacillati; Actinomycetota; Actinomycetes; Actinomycetales.